Molecule: non-coding RNA, 353 nt
Organism: Luteimonas sp. JM171
Lineage: Bacteria; Pseudomonadati; Pseudomonadota; Gammaproteobacteria; Lysobacterales; Lysobacteraceae
Rfam family: transfer-messenger RNA
About the family: Bacterial tmRNA, also known as 10Sa RNA or SsrA, is named for its dual tRNA and mRNA-like properties. Its role is to liberate the mRNA from a stalled ribosome. To accomplish this part of the tmRNA is used as a reading frame that ends in a translation stop signal.
Source: Rfam
GGGGGUGCAUUGGCUUCGACGGGGGUUGCGAAAUCACCUGGUGCAUGCCGAGGGGGCAGCUUUCCUCGUAAAUCCAGCGGCAAACUCAUAGUUGCCAACGACGACAACUACGCUCUCGCCGCUUAAGGCGUAAGCCCCGAACCCACUUGUGCCCAUGCUCGUGGAUGUAGGGUCAUUAUCAUGGGAACCAGCCGCGGCGGUUGCCUGUCUUCCGCGGUUGAACCUACAGGCUGGUUUCCUGGCGCGCUUCGCACGCUGUGCUGCCGGGGAACGAGAUCCAACAGCGGGCUAAGCAUGUAGUACCGGGGAUGGAGUGCUCUCGGACGGCGGUUCGAUUCCGCCCACCUCCACCA